GCUUUGUAGCGCAAUAGAUAGCGCGUUGGACUUCUGAUCCAAAGGUUCGAAUCUUACCUGGGAUGGCA
Non-coding RNA from Trichonephila inaurata madagascariensis, 68 nucleotides. Lineage: Eukaryota; Metazoa; Arthropoda; Arachnida; Araneae; Nephilidae. The record is from the annotation of a GenBank genome assembly.